This 70-nucleotide transfer RNA is filed under the name Anolis fraseri. Its description in RNAcentral is "tRNA-Ala". Lineage: Eukaryota; Metazoa; Chordata; Lepidosauria; Squamata; Anolidae. The record is from RNAcentral. RNAcentral also lists the same sequence under 2 other names.
UAAGACUUGUGAAACACUAAUACACAUCUUCUGAAUGCAACUCAAACACUUUAAUUAAGCUAAAGCCUCC